RNAcentral lists this ribosomal RNA (159 nucleotides) under uncultured eukaryote. RNAcentral describes it as "partial 18S ribosomal RNA". It matches the Rfam family "Eukaryotic small subunit ribosomal RNA", at positions 1299 to 1458 of the family's 1831-position model. The record is from RNAcentral.
UCGUGGAUCGAUCUGUCUACCUAAUCGUGAUAACGAACGAGACGCCUGCCAAUAUCUAGACACGCUAGUGGCUGCCUCACAAGGGUGGUUUACUAUGCGGCUGAUUUUGCUUCAUAUUGGGACAACCGGCGUCAAGCCGGGUGAAGAGGCGCAAUAACA